CCAUCCCAAGUCUCCCACCUGUCAAAAUUGGUUUCACUUGAUCUCUCCUCUGGGGGUUAUGUACAAACAAUUGACAAACAUGCUCUGGAGGGACUUGUUCACAACCUAACCGAGGUCAGACAUCUGUUUUUGGAUGGAAUGAACAUGUCUUCUGUUAACGCUCAUGUCUUCAUGAAUCUAUCCUCUUCUCUAAGGUCUCUCAGUCUUGCUCGUUGUGAUUUGCAAGGAAAAUUCCCAAAAAACAUUUUUGAUUUGCCAAACCUCAAUCUCCUCAACUUGGAAGGCAACCAAAACCUCAAUCUUGAUCCUUUGAAGUUCAAUCGGAGCAGCAAUCUUGAACAUUUGGAUCUGUCGUCCGUGUCCUUCUCUACAGAAUUAAUUGAUUCAGUUGAUAAUCUACAGGCCCUAAAGUACUUAGAUCUAUCAGGAAAUUCUUUCUUUCAAGGAUUGUCUGUCUCAUUCACAAAUUUAUCAUCUUUGGAGUACUUGAUUCUUAGGGGCGCAAAUUUUUGUGGAGGAUUGCCUGACUCGAUGGGGAAUCUUGUGUCCUUGAAGUUUUUAGAUCUCUCCAAUUCCAACUUAUCAGGACCGCUUCCAAGAUCACUGGGAAACCUCUUGCAACUCACUUAUUUAGACUUGAGAUCAAACAAAUUGAGUGGACAAAUUCCAUUGUCAAUUCUAAACCUAACGCAGUUGGAAUACUUGGAAAUAGCUGAAAAUUUUUUAGAAGGUUCCAUUCCAGAUGAUGUAACCGCUUUUCCUAAUCUAAUAUCUUUAGACUUAUUUGACAAUUUACUCAAUGGAACACUUCCGUCAUGGUUGUAUACUACUCCCUCAUUAAAUGGUAUAGAUCUCUCUCAAAAUCAAUUCAGUGGGCAUAUCAAAGAAUUCCAAUCCAAAUCACUAGCAUUGAUACGCUUAGAGAAUAAUAAACUCCAAGGUCCUCUUCCAUCUUCAAUAUCCCAACUUCUCAAUCUUACCUGGCUCGAUUUAUCCUCAAAUAAUCUUAGUGGUGUCGUAGAGUUUCGCAUGUUCUCAAACCUUCCAAAUCUCGAACUUCUUGACCUUUCAUAUAACAGCCUAUCCUUAACAUCUAAUACUACUUCUACUGUUAAUCAUAUAUUGCCUAAUCUUACUGGCUUAUUUUUGUCAUCUUGCAAUCUUAGUGAAUUCCCCCAAUUUUUAAAAGGGCUUAAAAGUUUGGAAAGCUUAGACCUCUCUUGCAACAAAAUUGAAGGCAAGAUUCCACAGUGGAUGCAAGAGGUGGGGAAUGGCUCUUUGACUUACUUCAAUGUAUCUCACAACUCUUUGACAGAAGUUGAGCACUUUCCAUGGAAGAAUAUUGCAGUUCUUGACUUAAGCUCCAAUUUGAUCGGUGGAAAUCUUCCGAUUCCAGCUUCGGCGGUCAAUGUCUUUCUGAUCUCAAAUAAUAAUUUCAAUGGAGAGGUCUCUUCUUUAAUCUGCAAUGCCACUUAUCUUAAAAUUCUUGAUUUGUCCCACAAUAACUUGAGUGGAACAAUUCCGCGAUGUUUUGGAAAUUUGAGCAACAGCCUUCAAUUCUUGAAUCUGAAGAAGAACAAGUUCUAUGGGACGAUUCCUCCAACAUUUGCAGAGGGAUGCCAAUUGACUAAUUUCAACUUAAAUGGAAAUCUGUUAGAAGGGCCAUUGACACCAUCCAUCCUUAAUUGUAUUGGUCUGGAAGUGCUAGAUCUUGGUAACAACAAGAUCAAUGAUACAUUUCCUCAUUGGUUGGGAAGUCUUCCACAGCUACAAGUUCUGGUAUUGAAGUCAAAUCAUAUGCAUGGGCCCUUAUGCGUCAAUAGCUCCAAGUCUAGCCCUUUUUUCUCUAAAAUCCAAAUUUUUGAUCUCUCGAGUAAUUAUUUUUCUGGACCCCUACCUGUGAGAUACAUCAACAGCUUCAAGGCUAUCAUAAAUCUGGAGAAGAUUGGGAGUACAAUGUCGUACAUGGGGGUGAAUGAUCCUGGAAUUGGUGGCUUCUAUACCUAUUCCAUUGGAAUUGUUAUGAAAGGACAAUAUAUGGAAUUGGUGAAAAUUUUCACCAUGUGGAUGAUCAUUGAUCUAUCAAACAAUCAGUUUGAAGGGGGUAUUCCAAAGGUUAUUGGGAAGCUUAACUUACUGAAAGGGCUCAACCUUUCUCAUAAUAACCUUAAUGGUGGUAUCCCCACCUCAAUGGAGAAUUUGACAAAUCUUGAAUGGUUGGACCUAUCUUCAAACACGUUGUCUGGGACGAUUCCAAAUAGAUUGGCAGAUCUGCCAUUUCUUUCGUCCUUCAAUGUUUCUGAAAAUCAACUCCAUGGUCAGAUUCCUCAAGGCAAACAGUUCAACACAUUUGGAAAUGAUUCAUAUGAAGGAAACAAGGGAUUAUGUGGAUUUCCAGUCUCGAAAGGUUGCAACAUCAUUGAGCCACCACCUCCAAAUGUGCUUGAAAAAGAUGGCUCAAAAUCAAACAUUACUUUUGGUUGGAAAGUGGUGUUGAUAGGUUACGGAUGCGGAGUGGUGUUCGGAAUGUCCGUGGGAUAUGUUGUUUUCCAAACUGGUAAGCCGAAAUGGUUGGUGAAUUUGGUUGAAAUCCAACAUGAGAAGAAGCGAAGAAGAAAGUCAAAGGAUGGCAGUCGCAGCAAUGGACGAAGAAGGAUCUAGUUAGUGGAAAUGGUGUUCAAGUGUUGAUGUUGUAUCUUCAUAAUUUCUUGUUUUGAAGUCUUUCAAUUUUUUUCCUAUGGUGAAAGGUUGCAUUGCCAUGCAUCUGUCUUUAUUAUUGGUACUAUUUGUAAGGGUUUGUUUUAAAUGUAACAUUUUAUAUGGUUCAACUAUUUAUGUCUUCUUUCAUGAGUUUCAUUUUUGAGUCUCAAUAAUCUCUGCAUUCAAGAUUUUGUCAGCUUAUUAAUUGGUGGAUCAAUAAUCUUCAUGCUCAUCUCAUCAUCUUUUUCUCGAGUUUCUUCUGUGUGGAAAAUAAUUUGGCAUUCUGCAAAUCUCCACAAUGCUUGUGGAUUACCUUUGGUUGACAGCUAUACAUAUAAAGGAAGGAAACAAGACCAUGUCCAAAUUUCCAAAAAUUAGCCAUUGAUUUUUGAACAGUUAAACUUUCGUAUUCUAUUUUUUAAAAUUGUAAAUUCUCAAAUAAUGUAAAUUAGUCCUAAAACUCAAGUUUUGAAAUCUUUACAAUUUAACCCCUUAUAGUUUCAAACUUUACUAUUUUAUGCUCAACUUUCUAAAUUUUCAUAUUUCAUGAUCAUAUAAUUUAGUUACUACAUCAAUAUUUGAGAUUUCACUACUCAAACCCUUACUUCAUUUUGGUCCUUACUUCAAUUUUAUCAAAUUAAAUCAUUUUUCAAUUUGAAUGCAUUGAUGCUAAAUUGAGGGACCACUAAACAAUGUUGAUGCGAGUUUAGGCAAAAUUGGUGGAUCCGAUCUCCUUAGUAAUUUCUUUGUGGAAGUACCUGCUUUCACAAUGCAAACUUGGAUAGUUUGUGGUGGACGAUGAUGAAUCAUUUCAUAGUCAAACACAUAAUUUUUAAACACAAAAUUAACGAUAUAUUGAAAUCAUUAUUGAAAUUAUAAUCAAAAUUAAUACAUGUUCUUUUUAUUAGCUUAAGGGCGUAAAAACCCUUCAAAAUUUUCAAAAAAAACUAAAUUUAAGUCCUGUUUUUUCUACUCAAUUGAGCCCUUAAACUUUUAAAAUGUAUCAAAAAUAUCUUUACACUUCUUCAAAAAAAGCAAUUAAACCCCUUUUUUUUCCCGCUCAAUUGGGUACUUGAACUUUCAUAAUGCAUAAAAAAAACCUUAAAAUUUUUUUCAAAGAAACAAUUAAGCCUCUAUUUUUUUCCCACUCAAUUGGGUACUUGAACUUUCAUAAUGCAUCAAAAAGGCCUUAAUUUUUUUUCAAAAAAGCAAUUAAGCCCUACUCUUAUUAAAAAUUAGAAAAAAAUCAUAAAAAUAAUAAAUUUUAGAAAAAAAUAUUAAAUUUUAAUAAAAUUUAAAAACUUAUUAAUAAUUUGAAUUUUUUUUAGAAAAAUAGUCAAAAAAUAAAAAUUUAUAAAAAAAUAAAAUCCAUCAAAAGUCCUUUUAAUAAUUUACUUUAACUAUUGAUCGUUAAAGUUAACGACGUCUAGUUUUUUCAAUUAAAGUUAUUAUGUGUCGCAACACAGCUUGAUAUGUAGCGAAAACAGAUAAAAAAUUAAAAAUCAAUAAAAGUUAUAGGAAAAUUAUAAAAUAUUUCUUUUGGUACAAUAAUUUUUAUAAAUUUUUUUACAAAAUUUAUAUUUCUUUACAUUUUGUAUAAUUUUCUUAUGACUGUAUAAAAUUUUAUAAUUUUUUAUAUUUCAAUAUAUUUUAAAUUUUUUUAAAAUUUUUAAAAUUUUUAAAAUUUUUAAUAAAUUUUUAAUAUUUGAUUUUUUAUUAAAAUUUAAUAAUAUUAUAGAUUUUAUUGAUUUUAAUUUUUUUCUAAUUUUUAAUAAAAGUAGGGGCUUAAUUGCUUUUUUUUUUAAAGUUUGAGGGUCUUUUUGAUGCAUUUUGAAAGUUUAAGUACCCAAUUGAGUGCCAAAAAAUAAAGUAGGGGCCUAAUUGCUUUUUUUGAAAAUGUUUGAGGGCCUUUUUGAUGUAUUUUGAAAGUUCAAGUACCCAAAUGAGUGCAUAAAAAGAACAGGGGUUUAGUUGCUAUUUUUGAAAAAGUUUUUACCCUUAAACCUCUUUUCUUUUUCUAAAUUUAAUUUAGAGCCAACUUUGAGUAAAGACUUGGAAAUUUAAUUAGCAAAAUUUCUUUCCAUGUAAAAAUUUCCCCUAUUUCUUGUUUGAAUUUAAAGCAAUACAAUAUUUUUCUAGCAAAUAAUAGAAAAUGACAGUCAAUUCGUUCCAAGCAAUACAAAAUUUCCAGUCUGGUGGAAAAUCUAUUAAUAUAUACACACUUAGGGACCAUAUAUAUAUAUAUUCCAGUCUGGGUCUUUGUCGUGUUUUGUUGGUUGGCUAUGGUCUUGUUGUUGUUGUUUCCACUGCCUGUGGUCUUUGUUUCUAAGUCAUAUGUGGCCUUGUUUGCUAGACCUUAGUUGCUAAGUUAAAGGGAGUGAAUAGAGCACCAUUUUCUUCUUCUGCGUGGAAAAUAAGUUGGCAUUAUGCCAAAUUCCACAUUCAUACAUAUAAAGGAAGCAAGAGCAAGUCAAUAUACUUUGUAAUCUCAUCCAUUCUUCUUCUUUCUUUAGGGAGUUCAAAUGAAAUACUAAUUUUUGGUAAAUCAACUCUUCAUUUUUAUGGAUAAAAAUUAUAUGGUAAAAAGGAAGUGGUGUUAAUAAUAAUAAUAAAAGAUUAACAAUAGAACACUAAUAAAGCAAUGUAGUCUAUGAUCUGCACAAUAUAUUACUACAAAUGUACCGUACAGAAUAUUGAAAGAAAACUAAUAAAGAAGUUCGAAAUUUAAACAAUGUUCCGCAAAUUAUGUUUAUGAUCUGCUGUAAAUUGAUAUGUUAAAUUAGGCUCUCCAUCACACUUAAAAGCUUAUUUUCAAGGAAUUUAGAUAUCUUUGUUGUUUUUUUAUUUAGUUUUUGUUCUUUAUAUUAAUAAAUGAUUAGUGUGCAUUUUGAUACUAUUUUGAGACCUGAGAUGGCCAAAGGGCACCCGGGGAAUCUGAUGAGGCUCGUGAGUGAUGCAGAGAGCCCAUGGUGGCUCAGAAGGAGCGAAAAUGUCACCUAGAAAGAGGAUAUCGCAUAUCAAAGCAUGAAAGUCGUAAUACCCAUAACAANNNNNNNNNNNNNNNNNNNNNNNNNNNNNNNNNNNNNNNNNNNNNNNNNNNNNNNNNNNNNNNNNNNNNNNNNNNNNNNNNNNNNNNNNNNNNNNNNNNNAUUGAGCCAUCAACAGUGUUAUCGUGAUACUGGUUAUAAGGUAUCGCGAUACCCAAAACUCCCAAGGAUCCCCAAGACUGUUGUAGAUAUCAUGAUACCAAACUUUGGGUAUCACAAUACCAUUGAUGAGAGGAGACAAAAUAUAACUGUAGGGUUAAUCCUUUUCCAACAUGUCCCCUAACCAAAAUUAGACGAUCAAGGACAAUUUGAUCACUGUUUUCAGAUCUGUAAUUUGCUAGAAAGGGGAAAAAAAUGGCUGAACAAAAGGCACACUUAACAUUUCAUGGUUUUCAAUUUUUCUCUUUAUUUGAAAACAAAUGGAAUUUAUUUUGAAAAUUUUUAAGAUUUUUUUAAAUAAUAAAAAUUUGCAUUAGUUUAAAAAAUUUUAGUUUUAAUUUUAGGAUAUCUUUAGAUUUAUACAUAUUUAAUUAUUUUUAUAUUUUUUAGAUUUAAAUGAAGUUGCAUAUGUAUGCACAUUAGCAAAGUUAAUUGAUAUUAAUUUUUUCAUCUGAUAAACAAUGUAAGUUUAAGGGUUAUUUGAUAAAUAAUGUAGGUUUAAGGGUUAAAAAAGAUGAAAAAUUAAAUUAAGGGCUAAAAUAACUUUUUUUUCAUUAUAAAGCUAAGAGUGAAAUGAGUUUUUGGGAAAAUUAUUCAACAUACAUGCCUUCAAUUUUAUGCAAUAAAAUAAAUGAAUAUAGGCCACACAUGCUUUGAAUUUUUAAGUAGUGCACAAUUUUGUUCUUUUGUGUGCAAAUUUCUACAUUGCUUGACAGCCAUUCAUACUAAGGGUACAUUUGGUUCAGUGUAAUAGAAUAGAGUUGUAAUCGGUAAUUCAAUUGUUUGUUUGAAUGGAACGGAAUAGAACUGUAAUAGUAUUCUUGUGUUUGGUUGAAUGGAAUGAUGUUGUAACAGCAUAAGGAAAAAAACUAAAAUGACUAGAAUACUUUUAGCAGAUUUUUUUUAGGUAGAUGAUUAUUGUUAUUAAAUUCUAAUAAGAUUAUUAUUAAAAAUAAUUUAAUAAAAAUAAUAAAUAAUUUAACCAUAUUUGAAAAUAAUUAUUAUUAAAUAUAAUUUAAUAAAAUUCUUAACAUAAUUACUAUUAUAUGAAUUUACUAAAAUCAUAUUAUAUAAUACUAUAAAAAUAAUAUAUAAUCUACAUUAUUAUUUUUAAACUGCAAUACAUAGUUAAUGUGUUAAAAUAUCAUUAGUGAAACAAAUAAUUUAAUUAUUCUACAAUGAAAUAUUAGAUAUUAGAAGUGAUAAAUAACUUAAGUAUAGUCAAUCUGUAGCAGUCUCCUUCCUCUUUAUUCUUUUGUCUGGAAAAGUAUUUGGGGCCAAUCUUGACGUGUUAUAAGGAAUAAGACUUUGUAAUCUCAUGAAUGUUAAUAAUUUUACCUCUUUGGUAAAAAAAAAAGUAAUCAAUUUUAUGAAUGAAAAAUAUAUGGUAAAAAGAAGUAGUUGUUGAUCACGAACAACAUGAUGAUUGUGGAAAUACAAAAAUUCCAAUAUAUGUGUCGAAUUCUGCAUAAUGUAAAUGUCCCGCAUUGCAUGUGAAUUCUGCAAUAGACCAAACUUUACUUGUUGUAACCCUUUAAACUGAGUUAAUGAAAAGUAAUCUUUCUUAUCAAAAUUAGUUAUACUCUUAAUUUAUAACAAAGGAAAGAGUAAUUUGAGUUUAACUCAAAGGUUAAUAUGUCACCAAUGGGCGAUAGCGUGGCACUACCAUGUCGGUGAUUAUUGAUCAUAUGGCAUUGUCACGUCAACAAACAGUGUUAGUCUUUUUCAUCAUUUUUUUUGGGUGAUUUAAAAGAGAUAAAAAAAAAUGAAAAGUUAAAAUGACUUUUUGUUUGUAAAGUUAAAAAAUGACAAAUAAAUCAUUAUGUCUUUUUAGUUUUAAUUUUUUACUCGAUUAAAAGAGAAAUAAUUAGCGAAUGAAAAAUAGCAAUUCCAAAGAAAUUUAUCAGAAUUUAUAACAAAUGAGAUUUUAGAUUUGAAUUAUGAGGUUAUAUAAGUAUACACAUUUUUUAUGGAAUCAGUGGAUUAAAUUUCCCAGCAAUCUUCUUCCUCAAACUUAAUGAAUAGAGCACAAUUUUGUUCUUUUGGGUGGAAAAGAAUUUCCACAUUAAUUAGCUUUGGUUGAUAGGCAAGUGAAUACAUACACACAUUCUUUACGUGUUAUAGAGAAGAACGCUAAAUCAAUCUACUUUGUAAUCUCAUUAAUCUUAAAUUUUUUAGUUGUUUAGGGAGACCAAAUUAUAUACAAGAUUUUGCGAAAAGAAAGCAUCCAAUUUUAAGAAUGAAAAAUAUAUGGUAAAAAGAAGACUAAGUGGUUGUUGAUGAUUGUGAAAAGUACAAAAAUUUUGAAAAUCUAAUAUCCAUAGCUUCUCAAUGUAAAAGAAAAAAAGACUGUAACACUGCGGUAUUAUUUGUUGCCUAUAAAUACCAUUCCUAUCCUUCAUCUUCCUCUACAGACAUAACAUGGCCCCCUAUCUCUUCCUCUGCCUAUUCCUCUUCUUUCCCCAUCUUUAUGCUUCUUUUUCUUCUUCUGGAUCUCACUCCUGCUCUUCACUAAUCCAGUUUAAGGACUCUUUUUCCAUAACAGAGGAUGCUUCUUCUUAUUGCAAUGGGAUUGCUGGCCUUAAAUCUUAUCCCAAGACAAAUUCAUGGAAGGAGGGUACAGAUUGCUGCUCAUGGGAUGGGGUCACUUGUGACCACCUAAAUGCUCAUGUUAUUGCCCUUGACUUGAGCUGCAGUUGGCUAUAUGGCAACUUCCCUUCCAAUUCCACUCUCUUCCUUCUUCCUCACCUUCAAAAACUCAACCUUGCCUACAAUGAGUUUAAUCUUUCCGAAAUUCCAUCCGAGUUAGGUCGGUUUACAAGCCUACUCUACCUCGACCUUUCCAGUACAGGGUUUGUAGGAGACAAACAUGCUCUGGAGGGACUUGUUCAAAACCUAACCGAGGUCAGACAUCUGUUUUUGGAUGGAAUGGAGAUGGCUUCUGUUAAUGCUCAUGUCUUCAUGAAUCUAUCCUCUUCUCUAAGGUCUCUCAGUCUUGCU
Molecule: long non-coding RNA, 8906 nt
Filed under: Gossypium raimondii (Peruvian cotton)
Lineage: Eukaryota; Viridiplantae; Streptophyta; Magnoliopsida; Malvales; Malvaceae
Description: long non-coding RNA (GRAI_LNC007861)
Source: RNAcentral